GUGAGGAAUAUUGGGCAAUGGGCGAAAGCCUGACCCAGCCACGCCGCGUGAGUGAUGAAGGCCUUCGGGUUGUAAAGCUCUGUGGGGAGGGAAGAAAAAGCGGGAGAGUAACUGCUCUCGUGUUGACGGUACCUCCUUAGCAAGCACCGGCUAACUCUGUGCCAGCAGCCGCGGUAAUACAGAGGGUGCAAACGUUGCUCGGAAUUACUGGGCGUAAAGCGCGUGUAGGCUGACAUGCAAGUCGGGUGUGAAAUCCCAGGGCUCAACCUUGGAACUGCACUCGAAACUGCACGUCUUGAGUACUGGAGAGGGAAGCGGAAUUCCGGGUGUAGAGGUGAAAUUCGUAGAUAUCCGGAGGAACACCAGUGGCGAAGGCGGCUUCCUGGACAGUAACUGACGCUGAGACGCGAAAGCGUGGGGAGCAAACAGGAUUAGAAACCCGAGUAGUCC
This 450-nucleotide ribosomal RNA is filed under the name uncultured bacterium. RNAcentral describes it as "bacterial SSU rRNA". It matches the Rfam family "Bacterial small subunit ribosomal RNA", at positions 354 to 796 of the family's 1533-position model. The record is from RNAcentral.